GUCCACGCCGUAAACGAUGGGCACUAGGUGUUCGGGGUAUUGACCCCUGAGUGCCGCAGCUAACGCAUUAAGUGCCCCGCCUGGGGACUACGGCCGCAAGGCUAAAACUCAAAAGGAAUUGACGGGGCCCGCACAAGCGGUGGAGCAUGUGGUUCAAUUCGACGCAACGCGAAGAACCUUACCUGGGCUAGACAACGUCGGACCGCCCUAGAAAUAGGGUCUUCCCGCAAGGGACCGGCGGUUCAGGUGCUGCAUGGCUGUCGU
Molecule: ribosomal RNA, 264 nt
Filed under: uncultured bacterium
Lineage: Bacteria
Description: partial 16S ribosomal RNA
Rfam family: Bacterial small subunit ribosomal RNA
Source: RNAcentral